This is an RNA transcript of Tachysurus fulvidraco (yellow catfish), 2140 nucleotides long. It is a transcript of the gene named cyclic AMP-dependent transcription factor ATF-1-like, with no coding region annotated. NCBI's taxonomy places the organism in Eukaryota, Metazoa, Chordata, Actinopteri, Siluriformes, Bagridae. The record is from RefSeq and is a predicted model, not a curated record. The transcript has 6 exons.
AUUGAUAUUUGCAUUCAGUUCCGGUUCAGUAAAAGAAUAACGUGAGCAAACCAUGGUGUCGCGUUAUUAUUAUUCUGGCCGCAGACACAACAAUUCUCGAGCAUCGGAAUUGGACAGCAGUGGGGAUUUCUCGGUUAGAGGUAGCUCCUACAGUUAUAGUUCCCAGUCACCUAUGUCCCUGGCGCCUGCAGAAAUGUUGUCAACUGAACAAGCUGCUCCACCUAGUGUACAAGCACCAAACUUCUUCAUCACCAACAGAAGCCACAUGUAUGCCUUCAUGCCCAAUGGUGGUACACAGAUUAGCAGCAGCAAGCAGAAUGAUCCAAGUUUCAAAAUACCCACUUCACGUGCUGCACAGCCUGGCCCAUCCUUUGUUAAUUUCCAUGUGCCGGUUGUUCAUGGGACUCGACAUUAUGCCCCUGGCAGUAAAAGGGUAACAACGAGGAUGGAUGAGACGCUCAGAGUAACUUGCAGCCCUCCGGCCACCUUUAAAAGUAAUGACGUCACUUUUAAGGCCAGGAGACUGACGGUUCAGUGGACCAAUGGGAAACUGAGGAUGGACCUGAGGAGAGACAGCGCGAGAGAUAAAAAAAAAAAGAAGCAAAACACAGACACAGCCAUACCACCACUAAAAGAAAAAAAGAAGUCAUGAUAAGUGUCAGUUUAUAUUAAUGUACUGUGUCAUCAGUCAGGUUGAGAUGAUUUUCUUUACAAUGUUACAUCGAAACAAAAAAGGUGUGUCCUAUAAAUUAUGAAGAUGUGUUUGGUGUUUUUAGACCACUUUACUUUCUGCAAAUUUACAAACAGUCAAACAUUUUAAAAAAUCUUUUUAAAAAAUUGUGUAAAAACUACCUGAGGUACCUAGUAAAUCGCUUUAUAAAUGCUUAGAAUGGGUCAAAUGUGAAAAACAUUUGCAUUUUCAAAUAAUACAAUCUAGAAACCAGAACAUGCACAUAUUUAACAUGGUAUUUAAAUGAUUGGAACAAAUUGAUAAAAUAUAGUGCAUGUAUGUUAGAACAACAAGUUAUUGUUUACAAUACUAUAUAUCAGUUGGUUCUGAAUGCAGGCUGUGGACUUUUUUCUUUUUUUCAUUCAUUCAUUCAUUCAGAUUGAAACCAUUCCUUCCACUUGCAUGUGCAGAACAUGGCUUGACUGAACUGCUAAAAAAAAAAAAAUUGUAGUCUAGUUGGAUGUGAUCAUGCUCACGGGAGGGUCUUUGUUAUCGCUUCCUGGGAAGCUGCACGGGAAUGCCGUCGGAAGAAACAGUAUGUCAAAUGUCUUGAAAACCACGUUGCCGUGCUUGAGGAGGGGGAAAAAAAAAAGACACUCAAAGAACUCAAGGCCUUAAAAGACUUGUACUGCCACAAAACUGAAUAAGCAAAAACUGUCGGGGAUCACAUUUUAACGAUUGUGCUCUUUACAGAUUACUGAAUGCUGAAUGCACCCAAGCAAAAGCACUUUCACUCUGUUUAGUCACUGCUCGCAGAUGUAGAAAACAGGCCACAGAUGCAUUGUUUAUGUAGUUUUAUAUCUUGAUGACUGAAGAUUGUAUGUGUUAUGUGAUUGUCUAACAGAGCUGAUUUGCUGCACUGAAACAGUGAAUGUGUGGUAUUUUGCCUUUGUCACUUGUUCUUUUUUAGGAAUGCAGCUAAAGAGUGUCGCCGUAGAAAAAGAGAGUAUAUAAACUACCUAGAGGUCCAUGCUUCCAUACUGGAGCAGCAGAACAAGAAGCUCAUGGAAGAGCUAAAUUAUCUGAAGGGAAUCUGUGAACAGAAGCCAAGUUAGGUCUUAAAGGGAAGCUUCACAGGAAUACCGUAGAAAGCAGAAGGAACAUAUAAAAUCUCUGGAAAACCGCAUUGCUGACAUGCAAAAAGAAAACGAGACACUCAUACGGCAAAACCAUUUUGCUUACUUAGAGCUUGAAGUGACAAAGCUGAAGAGGAAAAAUGAGAAGCUAAAGAGGAAAAACAAGAAGCUCAAACAAAAGCAAACAAAAUCUUGAUGCAAUUAUCAGAAUCCAAGAUAUGUCACUAAGGUUAAAUUUGGUUAUAUUUAGUAAAUAUAUAGUAAUGUAUAAUGUAAUGUAGUUAUAUUAAUGUAGUAAUAUUUUAAUUCUAAAUAAAUAUAUUUUUGAAAAUUA